RNAcentral lists this ribosomal RNA (425 nucleotides) under uncultured bacterium. RNAcentral's name for it is "partial 16S ribosomal RNA". It matches the Rfam family "Bacterial small subunit ribosomal RNA", at positions 354 to 796 of the family's 1533-position model. The record is from RNAcentral.
GUGGGGAAUAUUGGGUAAUGGGCGAAAGCCUGACCCAGCAACGCCGCGUGAAGGAAGAAGGUUUUCGGAUCGUAAACUUCUAUCCUUGGUGAAGAUAAUGACGGUAGCCAAGAAGGAAGCCCCGGCUAACUACGUGCCAGCAGCCGCGGUAAUACGUAGGGGGCAAGCGUUGUCCGGAAUGAUUGGGCGUAAAGGGCGCGUAGGCGGCCCGGUAAGUCUGAAGUGAAAGUCCUGCUUUUAAGGUGAGAAUUGCUUUGGAUACUGUCGGGCUUGAGUGCAGGAGAGGUAAGCGGAAUUCCCAGUGUAGCGGUGAAAUGCGUAGAGAUCGGGAGGAACACCAGUGGCGAAGGCGGCUUACUGGACUGUAACUGACGCUGAGGCGCGAAAGUGUGGGGAGCAAACAGGAUUAGAUACCCGAGUAGUCC